AACUCACUUGGGUUGCGUUGCUGUUCUGUGGGCGGUUUGUUCUUUUGCUGUUUGCAAUAACUUUUGCUGCUGCUUACUUUUUGGGUCCACACUGCUUUUAUGAGCUGUAACACUCACCACGAAGGUCUGCAGCUUCACUUCUGAAGCCAGCGAGACCACGAACCCACCGGGAGAGAACAAACAACUCCAGAAGCACCGCCUUAAGAGCUGUAACACUCACCGAGAGGGUCCGCUGCUUCAUUCUUGAAGUCAGUGAGACCAAGAACCCACCAAUUCCGGACACGAUGGUGCUGCCAAACCAGCCUGGAAAACGCGGCCUUCUGGACUUCUUGUACUGUGCGACUCCAGUCCCUGACCCCACCAGGAAAAGGCAGAGGCACCUGAUUUCCCCGCACCUGUGGAGCUGCAGGGGGUGUCUGGGUCUCCAACUCCAGUGGGGAAUGAUGUUCAACUUCCUGUUAUGCUGGGAUCCACCUGCGGGUGAGAAUGAAGGGCUUGGAGCCUUGACCCUGGAUGGAGACAUGUCUUCCCUUUCACAGGAGAUCAUAAAACCAGAGCUGACAGCAAAGAUGGUCCUUCCUGAGGGUGAAAUGAUGGUAACACUGACAAAUACGGGCGUAAUCUCAACACAAGCUCAAAGAAAAAGCAGAUUCAUGGAGAGAUGAACAGCUGAGAGUUUCAAUCUUUUUGUUGGCACUGCUCUUGAACUCCUGGCCUCAAGCAAUCAUCCCACCUUGGCCUCUUGAAGCUCUACAGGCAUGAGCCACCACUCCUGGCCUUUCCUUGUUAUUAGUCUUCUCAAAUUCCAUGUUCCUGGCAGCUGUGAUGGACAGAUUUUACUGGUGACGUUGGAGCAACACAGACUUUGGCUCCCAGGUAUCUGAGACUGCAGGAAAGUUAACCAGCAACAGCGUUGGGGCUAGGGAAGGGCAAAGCUCUCGGAGACCUUGAGAGUGAAGCUUGGAAGUCCCCACCUUCAUUCGAGCCUCUGGCUCAGGCUGGGAGAGAAGAUGGAGUCGGUCCUGGAAGGUUCGGUGGUGAAAGAGGAUGACAGGACAUUUCCAAAUCGUCAUAGGAAGGUGAAGAAGUGGCAAGUACAUGGCUGAGAGCAGGGGUCUGGUGCAGGGUGACCUAAUCCAGUCCUGAUGAUGCCGAUUUCUACACAAGCAACCACCUUUCUGUGCCUCUGUGUUUUCAUCUGCAAAAUGGGAACAGUGAUGUAUAGUAGUGCCUGUUUUGGAGAGUACAUGAUUUAAUACACAUGGAGUAUGGGGAACAGCGCCUGGCCUAAAGUGAAUCCAAGAUAACAAUGGCCUUGUUUCAUUACACGUGGUCCUGGCUGGGAAGAAAAGACACUACAGUGUGAUAAGAGGGGCCUUGGGGGACCUGACCUGGGCCCUGGGCCUGGGCGAGGAGGUGAUGAGGACACAGGAGAAUCCCCCCAAGGAGGUGACAUUCAUCUGAGACCUAACAGGUGACGAGGUUCCUGGAGGUAACUGGGUGAGGAUCAGGGUGGGGGUGGGGAACAUACCAGGAGGAAGGGCCAGCACGUGCCAAGGCCCUGAGGUUCCUGGAAGCCUGGUCUGUCCAAGGCCAGCGGAGAGACCAGUGUGGCCAUGACCGAGUGGACACAGGAGUGAGUGGUGCGAGGUGGGACUGGAAGGGGGCAGGGACCUGUGGGGGUUUGGAUGCCAUCCUGAGGUCCAAGGGCAGCCUCUGUGGUUUGAUGGGUCCGAUCUUUCUCUUUGGACGUCCCCAUGGGAGGGCCUCCUUGUCUAGGGCUGAACCUUUCCUCCCCAUUCCCACCAUGUCCUGUUUCACAGGUAAGAACCUGUGUGGGAGGGAGACUCUGUUUCAGGGCCUUGGCCACAUCUCAGAAGAAAAUCUGAGAAGACCGUUUUCAGGAAAUGCUUGGCCGGGAAGUCUGCCAUGGGAAGCAGUGGUCUGAGAUCCAGGGAACAGCAUUGGCCUAAACCUGCAGGCACCAUCGCAAAGGGGAGUCAGCUCAGGUAAACCCGCUGGUGAAGCAUGAUUCCAGCGUGGGGACACAGAGGCUGACGUAUCUUGCUGUAGGUGAUUUAAUGUUGGGCCUCAGUAUUUCACUACCCCUGUAAGAGUAUGACACAUCCACAUCCUUACCAGGGCCCGAGGGAGGGUGGAUAGACUUAUCCAUCCCAUAGGUAUUGCUCGUGGCUGGGUAACUUGCUUAUGCCAACAAGAUUUUCAUAGACACGGCACAGGCAGAAGCCUGGAAUGUGUUGGCACUGCCAGGCCUGCCCCCUAAUGCUCUUGAUUUUUCCCACGAGACGAGCGUGCCCCAGGGAACUUCGGCUCCAGCUGCAGGAUGAGAGGCGUGUGGAGCACGCAGGGUUCCAACCCUCAGCCUGGAGUCAAGCCCAGACUAGAUCAGCCUAAGCCCAGCCAAGCCACGGGUGCAGGAGUGAAAAGCAAAUGCUAACUGUCCAUGACAUUGACUUUCAAAGGGGCGUGUCAUGUUAUGUGGCUCAUCCCAGCAACAAUGAAGAUAUUUCUCUAUCAGUCAGUCGGUAAAUAAUUAUUGACAAUGUGCUAGGAAGGUGGAGUGAUUGGAGUAGAUUUGGUCCCUAUUCUUAUGGAGCUUACUUUCUAGAGGGCAAGACAGAUGAUAGGUGAAUAAAUAUAAAUUAUUCUAUUAGGUCGAUGCAGCAGUAAUUCCAGCUUUUGCCAGUAAAGGUAAUGGCAAUCAAAAGCGGGGAGGAGCCGGCGCUGCCGUUCAUUAAAAGUAAUGACAAAAACUGCGAUGACUUUUGCACCAACCUAAUAGAAUAAAUUACGAGUGCGCAAAACGCUGUGAUGGGAAAGUUCCAAGUGCCAGGAUAGCAUCUAGCUUCCUGGAGUCAGGAGAUGGGGGUUUUCAACCUAAGCAAGGUUAAGUCCAAGUGGUGGGGGCAGGCGGGGGGUGAUAUUUCAGUGGAGACUCCAAGGAUGAACGGAAAUUAGAAAAGUGAACGCAGAUGGUGAGGGGGGAAGGGUUUCAGGCACAGAGAACAGCAUGUGCAAAGGCCUUGGGGGAGGACACCGUGUGUUCAUGGACUGAGGGGCGGCCAGCAGGCUGGAGCUGAGCGGGUUGAGGAGGAUGGGGAGCCGGGGAAAGGCGCUCCACGCAGGGGGCACAGCAGGGGCAAAGGCCCGGAGUCAGGCCUGAGCCUGUGUGGUUUCAGGAAGUGACAGAGGCCUGUCUGGGAGGAAAGUAAUGGCAGAGGGGAGACCAUAAGGUCAGGGCAGAGGGCAGGGCCGUGCUGGGCACUGUGGGCUGUGGAUAGGACCUGGCAUUUAUGCUCGGGUGAGGGGAACUUGUUAGAAGAUUUUAAGGAGGGCAGGAACAUCUGGGGAUAAUGUGUAUUCUAGGAAUCUCAACCAAGUAAAUUCAUAGUUUGAAUGUUCACAAGACUUCUGCACAGGCAAAGUG
RNA transcript from Pan troglodytes (chimpanzee), 3448 nucleotides. RefSeq lists it as uncharacterized. NCBI's taxonomy places the organism in Eukaryota, Metazoa, Chordata, Mammalia, Primates, Hominidae. The record is from RefSeq and is a predicted model, not a curated record. The transcript is spliced from 8 exons.